AGACUGGGAUAACUACCGGAAACGGUAGCUAAUACCGGAUAAUUUAUUUUGCAGCAUUGUGAAAUAAUGAAAGACGGAGCAAUCUGUCACUUGGGGAUGGGCCUGCGGCGCAUUAGCUAGUUGGUGGGGUAAUGGCUCACCAAGGCGACGAUGCGUAGCCGACCUGAGAGGGUGAACGGCCACACUGGGACUGAGACACGGCCCAGACUCCUACGGGAGGCAGCAGUAGGGAAUCUUCCGCAAUGGGCGAAAGCCUGACGGAGCAACGCCGCGUGAGUGAUGAAGGUUUUCGGAUCGUAAAGCUCUGUUGCCAAGGAAGAACGUCUCAUAGAGUAACUGCUAUGAGAGUGACGGUACUUGAGAAGAAAGCCCCGGCUAACUACGUGCCAGCAGCCGCGGUAAUACGUAGGGGGCAAGCGUUGUCCGGAAUUAUUGGGCGUAAAGCGCGCGCAGGCGGUUCUUUAAGUCUGGUGUUUAAACCUGGGGCUCAACUUCAGGUCGCACUGGAAACUGGGGAACUUGAGUGCAGAAGAGGAGAGUGGAAUUCCACGUGUAGCGGUGAAAUGCGUAGAUAUGUGGAGGAAC
Molecule: ribosomal RNA, 585 nt
Filed under: Paenibacillus sp.
Lineage: Bacteria; Bacillati; Bacillota; Bacilli; Caryophanales; Paenibacillaceae
Description: bacterial SSU rRNA
Rfam family: Bacterial small subunit ribosomal RNA
Source: RNAcentral